UCCUGCCAGUAGUGUAUGCUUCUCCUAAAGACUAAGCCAUGCAUGCCCUCGAAUAGAAGAGCAAUAUCUCUCCGAAUCUGCGGACGGGCUCCGCACACCAGUUGUAACACAAUGGCAAGCCGGUUUUCGAGAUCGCCGCAAGGUGUUUCUUGGGGACCACAAGGCUAUCCCUGGCAAUUCUGAGGCUAAUACAAGAACAUACCACCCUUUGGCUGACCGGGCAACGGGGACGCUGGGUGCGGUGUAAGACCCUCGCUAAGGUUGCUAUGAGAAGCUGCACGCUCUGACCCACUGCAAAAAACGGGCUCGCUUGUGAACNCUUCGGGGGAUCGGGCUUGCUUGAGUGGCUCUUGCAAUGUGCUUCUGACCUAUCAACUAGAUGGCAGCGUAAGGGACAUGCUAUGGUGACAACGGGUACAGAGGAUAAGGGUUCGAUCCUGGAGAGUGGGCCUGAGAGAUUGCUCACACNUUCUAAGGAAGGCAGCAGGCGGCGCAACGUUCCCAUUGGACUCCGUCCGAGGGCGUUAGGGGAAAUAUGAAUGUCUGCCUUAUGGUGGACAAUUCAAAUGGGACUGUUCUAAACAGCCCAUCGNGUAACAAUUAGAGGACAAGUCUGGUGCCAGCACCCGCGGUAAUUCCAGCUCUAAUAGCAUACGUUAAAGUUGUUGCAGUUAAAACGCUCGUAGUCGGCACGAGACCUUCAGAUGCUUCGGAUCGUGAUCCUGUUUGCUGCUUUCUCAAGCGUGCAUCGGAGGAUCGAACUGGAGUUUGACGUCGGUCGCAUGUGCCUAGGGCCACUCUCCGGAGUAAAAGGUACCUGGCUUCGGCUGGGAACCCGGUCCGCGCGCCAUUUACCAUGAUUAAACUGGGGUGAUCGAAGCAUGACGCUUACGUCGCGUACAGGAUAGCAUGGGUAUAAGCUCGACUGGCUUGGGAGUUGCGAACCAGGCUAGUAAUCGCGAAGAGGAUGUUCGAGGGUGACCGAAUUGCCGGGCGAGCGGUGAAAUGCGUUGACCCUGGCAAGUCGACCAAAGGCGAAAGCAGUCAUCAAGGGCAUACCUGUCGAUCAAGAGCGAAAGUCAAGGGCUCGAAGACGAUCAGAUACCGUCGUAGUCUUGACUAUAAACGAUACAGACCAGGGAUAGGACUCUGUCCAUCCCGACUUCUCCUGAAUCUUGAAGAAAUUACCAGUCUUUGGGUUCCGGGGGGAGUAUGGUCGCAAGGCUGAAACUUAAAGGAAUUGACGGAAGGGCACACAAAGAGUGGAACCUGCGGCUUAAUUUGACUCAACACGGGAAAACUCACCAGGUCCAGAUACACGUAUGAAAGUCAAGCUGAAAGACUUUACUCAAUGAUGUAAGUGGUGGUGCAUGGUCGUUCGUAGUUCGUGGAUUGAUUUGUCUGGUCUAUUCCGAUAACGAGCGAGACCCCAACGUUCCUAAUAGGGGCGACAGCCCGGCUUGCCGCAAGGCUUGCCAGCAGUUGCCUAAGAUUCACUUCUUAGACGUAUCAGGGCCGAUAAGGUCCUUGAAAUGGGUUAAUAACAGGUCAGUCAUGCCCUUAGAUGUUCUGGGCCGCACGCGCGUUACAAUGGCACGUUGCAAAACGUGCCUUCAGUGGUUUCCCCUCGGUCGAAAGGCCUUGGUAACCGCUAACCCUUUGCUAUGACUGGGAUAGAUCAUUGCAAUUAUUGGUCUCUAACGAGGAAUUUUUAGUAAUCGCAGGUCAUUAACCUGCGAUGAAUCUGUCCCUGCCCUUUGUACACACCGCCCGUCGCUGCUACCGAUUGGGUUUUACAGUUACGCGUUUGGAGGUCGUGGCUUUCCUUGCUUGCCCUUUGGGUAGGCAUGAGCCGUGGCUGAAAUUCUAACUACUGUACGGCCUAGAGGAAGCAGAAGU
This 1899-nucleotide ribosomal RNA is filed under the name Physarella oblonga. RNAcentral describes it as "SSU rRNA". It matches the Rfam family "Eukaryotic small subunit ribosomal RNA". The record is from RNAcentral. Lineage: Eukaryota; Evosea; Eumycetozoa; Physariida; Physaraceae.